GUAGGGAAUCUUCCACAAUGGGCGAAAGCCUGAUGGAGCAACGCCGCGUGUGUGAUGAAGGGUUUCGGCUCGUAAAACACUGUUGUAAGAGAAGAAUGACAUUGAGAGUAACUGUUCAAUGUGUGACGGUAUCUUACCAGAAAGGAACGGCUAAAUACGUGUCAG
Molecule: ribosomal RNA, 165 nt
Filed under: uncultured bacterium
Lineage: Bacteria
Description: partial 16S rRNA
Rfam family: Bacterial small subunit ribosomal RNA
Source: RNAcentral